AGCCGCAUGCAUUUCUGAUUACCA
This 24-nucleotide non-coding RNA is filed under the name Arabidopsis thaliana (thale cress). The record is from RNAcentral. Lineage: Eukaryota; Viridiplantae; Streptophyta; Magnoliopsida; Brassicales; Brassicaceae.